GCGGGUGUGGCGAAAUGGCAGACGCGCUUGCCUUAGGAGCAAGUGGAGAAAUCCAUGGGGGUUCAAGUCCCUUCACCCGCACCA
Molecule: transfer RNA, 84 nt
Filed under: bacterium
Lineage: Bacteria
Also listed under: 1 other name
Description: tRNA-Leu
Rfam family: tRNA
About the family: Transfer RNA (tRNA) molecules are approximately 80 nucleotides in length. Their secondary structure includes four short double-helical elements and three loops (D, anti-codon, and T loops). Further hydrogen bonds mediate the characteristic L-shaped molecular structure. tRNAs have two regions of fundamental functional importance: the anti-codon, which is responsible for specific mRNA codon recognition, and the 3' end, to which the tRNAs corresponding amino acid is attached (by aminoacyl-tRNA synthetases). tRNAs cope with the degeneracy of the genetic code in two manners: having more than one tRNA (with a specific anti-codon) for a particular amino acid; and 'wobble' base-pairing, i.e. permitting non-standard base-pairing at the 3rd anti-codon position.
Source: RNAcentral